AUGGUUGCUCGUUUACCUGAUGAAAAAAUUCAAAAAAAUUCACUAUUACUCAAUAAAUACAAAUGUAAACAUAGUGUUACUUUAAGAGAGUUACAGUCAUUAUAGGGUCUUUUGAAUUUUGCCUGUGGCGUCAUUGUUCCAGGUAGAGCUUUCUUACGCAGAUUAUUUAUUUUAACUAGGGGUCAUAUAUCUCCACAUUAAAGAAUAAAGUUAAAUUCUGAUGCAAGGCUAGAUCUUAAAUUAUGGGAUUUAUUUAUUAAAGAUUUUAAUGGUUAAUCAUGUUUUUUAUAUAACCAUGGAAGUAAUAUUGAAAGGAAUAACAUCGUCGUCACUUCAAAGGUUUCAUCUGCGUUACCGCCCAUCUUUCGAUAACUCGUUAAUUGGUUCAAUAUCUGGCAUGGAAAUUGAUUCUCCGCAUGUGAUCGAUCAAAUCACUGACACUUAUCGGUCAGUUUCGUGUUCACGGAGAAUUACGAACAGACAAGUUUUUGUCGUAUAUACGUGCGAAGUAACCCAAAUAGUCCAUUCGUUACAUUCCGUUGAUGUACCCUGUCGAAUAGAGUCAUUUGUUCAAUUUUUAUUUUAGUCCAUUUUUUCCCUAUUUUAGGUUAGUUUGAUCUUAAUAGUUUAAACCGACACCUAUCACAUACGAAAUUGGAGAACAAGGCUGGGUCAUUUUCAAUUUUAAUAUUUACAGACAGUUAAAAAACCAUUUCCGUAAGUUAAGAAGAUGAUUGUUAAAAUAUACGUUUGGACCCCCUUUAUUAAAUACGAAAGAUC
This 780-nucleotide long non-coding RNA is filed under the name Mytilus galloprovincialis (Mediterranean mussel). Lineage: Eukaryota; Metazoa; Mollusca; Bivalvia; Mytilida; Mytilidae. The record is from RNAcentral.